Molecule: non-coding RNA, 78 nt
Organism: Schistosoma mattheei
Lineage: Eukaryota; Metazoa; Platyhelminthes; Trematoda; Strigeidida; Schistosomatidae
Source: Rfam
AGCUUUCUGUAUUCGUGCUGAGAUUUUGUCACACUCCAAACCACAACGGCUGAUGAGACUCCCAAGAUAAGUGAGGCG